GUGGGGAAUUUUGGACAAUGGGCGCAAGCCUGAUCCAGCAAUGCCGCGUGUGUGAAGAAGGCCUUCGGGUUGUAAAGCACUUUUGGCAGGAAAGAAAUAGCGCGUGCUAAUACCAUGCGCGAAUGACGGUACCUGCAGAAUAAGCACCGGCUAACUACGUGCCAGCAGCCGCGGUAAGACGUAGGGUGCAAGCGUUAAUCGGAAUUACUGGGCGUAAAGCGUGCGCAGGCGGUUUUGUAAGACAGGUGUGAAAUCCCCGGGCUCAACCUGGGAACUGCACUUGUGACUGCAAGGCUAGAGUGGGUCAGAGGGAGGUGGAAUUCCGCGUGUAGCAGUGAAAUGCGUAGAGAUGCGGAGGAACACCGAUGGCGAAGGCAGCCUCCUGGGAUAACACUGACGCUCAGGCACGAAAGCGUGGGGAGCAAACAGGAUUAGAUACCCGGGUAGUCC
This 450-nucleotide ribosomal RNA is filed under the name uncultured bacterium. RNAcentral describes it as "partial 16S ribosomal RNA". It matches the Rfam family "Bacterial small subunit ribosomal RNA", at positions 354 to 796 of the family's 1533-position model. The record is from RNAcentral.